GACGAACGCUGGCGGCGUGCUUAACACAUGCAAGUCGAACGGAAAGGCCCUGCCUUUGUGGGGUGCUCGAGUGGCGAACGGGUGAGUAACACGUGAGUAACCUGCCCCUGACUUUGGGAUAACUUCAGGAAACUGGGGCUAAUACCGGAUAGGAGCUCCUGCUGCAUGGUGGGGGUUGGAAAGUUUCGGCGGUUGGGGAUGGACUCGCGGCUUAUCAGCUUGUUGGUGGGGUAGUGGCUUACCAAGGCGGGGACGGGUAGCCGGCCUGAGGGGAGGACCGGCCACAACGGGAGGAAGAUACGGCGCAGACUCCUACGGGAGGAAGCAGUGGGGAAUAUUGCAGAAUGGGCGGAGGACGGAUGCAGCAGCGCCGCGUGCGGGAUGACGGCGUUCGGGGUGUAAAACGCUUUCGCCUGUGACGAAGAGUGAGUGAGGGUAAGGGGUAAAGAAGCACCGGCUCACCACG
Molecule: ribosomal RNA, 466 nt
Filed under: uncultured bacterium
Lineage: Bacteria
Description: partial 16S ribosomal RNA
Rfam family: Bacterial small subunit ribosomal RNA
Source: RNAcentral